AACGUUAAUCAAGGAGCCGGUUUCUCUGAGUAAACAUUCCACUGGGAGUGAGGUAUCUGCCGCAACCAUUUUCUAUGCAGAAAUACAGAGGAACUCCACAGAAGAGCUCCUCAUGAAACUGAGGGUGUGAGCAGGUUGGGGUACGUAUAUGAUAACCGCUUCUUGAGGAUUUUAUUACUUCCCUUCCCAUCUUGUAAUGGCACUGCCUGAUAGUAACGACAGUUUCCUUUAUUCCUCGGCCCUGUCGGGGCCGCAGCAGUGGGCACGCCGCUGGGAAAAAGCAGAAGACAGAGGACAAAACCGCCGCGCCGCACGGGUUGCAGAGCUGCCCGUUCCAGUGACGUGCAACACUGAACUUCACUCAGGACCUAAUAUGAAGAAAUUGUACAGAAAGGAGGCUUAUGAGAAGCAGACGGAAGGAGCGAGAGAACCCCUGAGCUUUUCGGUCCUGUCAGAUACGGUUUUCCUCGGCUCCCUGAAAUCCAGUAAGUACCUGAAGAUCGCGGCAGUUGGUGGAGGAGGCAGGGGUGGUAGAUGAUGGUGUUCUUUUUUCCUUUUACCCUGUCCCUUUUCUUUUUCCCCUUUUUACUACGGUAAACAAAUUUUCAGUUUAGGACAUCAGCAAAGUGUGUGCAUAAUACUGUAUUUAAUUUGUUAAGAAAAGCACCUCGGUUUGUGUUGGGGCUGAAGUCUAGAACCAGAUUCACCGUAAAGGCACGUUAUCUUACAGAACAUUCUGUUUUCUGCGUAUUCAUACUGUUUAGAGAAUAAUACUGGGUGAGGUAAUUUAAAUGGAGUUGAAAGUCAUUGAAAAGACGGUAAAGCUCAUCGAGUCCAACCGUGACCUAACCGGACUACCCUAACUAACAACCCUCCACUCAGUCAUGUCCCUGAGCACCACAUCCAAACGGUUUUGAAACACAUCCAGGGAUGGUGACUCGAUCGCCUCCCCGGGGAGCCUAUUCCAGUGCUCGGCAACUCUUUUUGUACAGAAGCUUUUCCUGGUAUCCAGCCAAAACCUCCCCCGGCGCGAAUUAAGGCUAUACAUCAGAGAAAUGUCUGUGAUACUGCAGAAGCCAGUAUGGGCCCCCAAGCCCGUAGGGUAUGCAAAGGAGGAGUCAGCGGUCGCUUCUUGUGCCGGAAGAUCACCGUGGAGUUCCACAAGGAUGUUUUUAUCGCUGGUGUGAGAAAGAGAACGAACGGAGAAGCGAUACAGUUUGCUAGGUUACUCACUGUAAGCGAGACAAGGGUAAUGGCCAAAAAGAUAUAGAAGGCUCUUUUGGGGUACUAGAGCAACAGAUCAAGUUCCUCGUCGAUGUACGCAGUGUGACGAGCGCAGGAAGAGAAACGUUUCUUUUCAGGAAGGACUAUUUGCACAAACAUCAUCCUUAAAUUCCUUUGUGUAAUUUCUACUAAAAUUACUGAUGUCUUCCAAAUUGUAGGAAAUGAUAAGCAAGCGGCACCGAAUAACCAAGUAAGUCUUAUGAAGUCACGAGUAAGUAGCUUAACUUCCCUUUGGGCCUGAAUUCUUGCAUUUU
Molecule: long non-coding RNA, 1538 nt
Filed under: Phasianus colchicus (ring-necked pheasant)
Lineage: Eukaryota; Metazoa; Chordata; Aves; Galliformes; Phasianidae
Description: lncRNA (ENSPCLG00000003191.1)
Source: RNAcentral